This is a non-coding RNA of Linepithema humile (Argentine ant), 137 nucleotides long. Lineage: Eukaryota; Metazoa; Arthropoda; Insecta; Hymenoptera; Formicidae. The record is from RefSeq and is a predicted model, not a curated record.
UUCAAUCUUAACCUGCGACCGAUUGCCGCAAUUUUCAAGCAGCGUACACCAAUGAUCUUUGCUUCUAUCAUGCGCUUCCUGUACUCACCGAUGCGUACAGUAUGAAAUUUGCCUAAUCCAGGAAGACUGAAAUGUUG